GGAAAAGAAAACACUCAAAAUAGCGCAAGAGGUUUGAUCCCAUGUAAGAGCAUGUUUUCCACUGUGCAAGCGAGAUCACAAGUAUUUUGCUCAACUAAUGCCAGUGAUGAUUCUUAUUUCCAAACCCUAUUAUAACCCAUGCAUGAAUAAUUUCAUUCGCUUUCUGCUAGAACUCUUAUAUCAUUCCAUAGUUUACUUUCUUUUCAAUGCCUCCUUACAAUACAAAA
This 227-nucleotide unclassified non-coding RNA is filed under the name Hevea brasiliensis (rubber tree). Lineage: Eukaryota; Viridiplantae; Streptophyta; Magnoliopsida; Malpighiales; Euphorbiaceae. The record is from RNAcentral.